Long non-coding RNA from Oncorhynchus nerka (sockeye salmon), 3612 nucleotides. RefSeq lists it as uncharacterized. The record is from RefSeq and is a predicted model, not a curated record. NCBI's taxonomy places the organism in Eukaryota, Metazoa, Chordata, Actinopteri, Salmoniformes, Salmonidae. The transcript has 4 exons.
GAAUGAGAUGGAUUUUAUUUGAUUUAAGUUUUAGCUCCCGAGAGGCGCAGCGGUCUAAGGCACUGCAUCUCAGUGCAAGAGGCGUCACUACAGUCCCUGGUUCGAAUCCAGGCUGUAUCACAUCCGGCCGUAAUUGGCCCAGCGCCGUCCGGGUUUGGCAGGGGAUACCCACAAGCCUCACAAGACUCGUCUGAAGGUCGCCAGUACCACUUUAAAACAUUAUGCCAAAGAUUUGCCCUUUAUCAUCAUGUCUGACUGUUUCAUGGCAGUGUCACCACUGUGGUGACUUCACUCUGAGUGCCAGGGGAGCACAGGGGGGUCUACAGUGCUGCUGGGAACACACAGAGGGGUGUCAGUCUGAGGGACCUGGGCAGGGAGGAGAGGGACAUAUCUAAUCUUAGACAGGCAGCCCAAUUUUUUUUCUCCACUAAUUGGUCUUUUGACCAAUCACAUCAGAUCUUUUCACAUCAGAUAUUUUUCAGAGCUGAUCUGAUUGGUCAAAAGACCAAUUAGUGAAAAAAAAAAUUGGGUUGGUUGUGAGGAGAUGGUUCUUACCUCUGGGUCGUCGGUACCCAUGGUGCACAGCCCAUACGUGAUAACCAUCACACUGAUCAGCAUCUCCAGCACCAAGAAACCAAUCAGAAUGCCCAGCAUGCCAUUGAUCAGGAGCUUCACAGGAAGGAAGCCAUGCAGAGACACAACAGAGGAGACAUUUACACACCACACCAGCAUCAUGUUGGUUUUGUCUUAUUCGUUUCACCUGUUUUUUGUUUAGGUUUUUAGUUGGGCUAUUUAAGCCGGUAAGGCCCGCCUGCUCUUUGUGAGGGCUUAUUUUCCCUCUGUUGUUUCUGUGUGGUAGUGCGUUUCAGUUUGGGUGUUUUUCCGGACUGUUUAGGUCCUGGUUUUGGGCCGGUUGUUUAUGUGCGCCCUGUAUUGGUGUGUACUAUUUUCUCUGUGCCGGAGAUUAAAGCAUUGAUCUGUACCUUCUGCCUCCUGCGCCUGACUCCGCACCCACUACGCCUAAGUGCAUCACACAUACAGUGCAUUCGGAAAGUUCCUGGGGCCCAGUGUUCCUCCAAAGGCAUCUGUUGUGACAACUGCAAGCUGCGUACAGGUGGAUGGAUGUGUUGGCAGCCCCUGGGGGAGUGUGACCUCCCAGAGCACUGCACCGGUGCCUCUCCCUACUGCCCCCCCAACGUGUUCCUGCAGAACGGCGAGGAAGGCUCCUCCUACUGCUACAGUGGUGUCUGCACCAGCCUCAACACACAGUGCCAGAUGUUGUGGGGACCUAGUGAGUUACACUAUUGGUCAAAUGUUCUGGACCCGAUAACCAUUGUGAUUGAUACCACUGUGGGGAGCUAGUGGCUAGUUAUUUGGACUUGUUUCACUACUUUGACCAAGUACUGUAGAACCUCGAGAUCCAAACCCCAGUGUCCUGGACUGACUGGUCAGCGGAACUGGAACUUUUUAAAAGCAACAGAGAAUACUUCCCUGGACAAAGGAUUCCUAUAUACUGCAAGCCCAAAACCCACCAUGGUGUAUAUCGCAGUCAUUACAUUCAGUGAGACAUUUUACUUCACCUGUGGAAACAGAGGCGACAUACUCUUAAAGAAAACACAAAUAUAUUUCCCUUGGUUGACUAAUUGACUAAGGGGUUGACUGAUCUUGAACCCAGAACCAAAUCGACUACUUGAUCACACAUGGUAUAAGGGGUUGACAGCAGUUGGUUGAGUUAACAGUUGUUGAACUAGACACAACCCUAGGUGCCAGCCUCUGAAUGCCAUCUAAACAGCUUUCUCCUACUUUCCCAGAAGUACUAUAUGUGGGGUGAAUGCCAGCAUGUACAAGAGUAAUUCCACUAAGGAGGACCUACGGGAUAAAUAACAACAUCCUGAACCUUAGAGACAGAUCACAUACACAAUGUGUGGAAGUAUCGUUGAACAAUGCAAGUGGCACGAAUACAAAUAGCACAGUUCCAAUUUCUUUUUAGUUUAACCUAAAAGACAACUGAUCAAUAUAUAGCUGAUCCAUCCUCCAACAAUAAACAUGACAAAGACAUCUCUUUUAAAGAAACUGUUCAGCUGAAAAAGAUUCCCAGCCAUGGAGACCGUUAGCAGCCCCAAUGGUCAUCUCAAACACCUUAGAAGUGUGUAGAGUGAGAAAGAGACAUAAAACAAAAUGUAUGAACCGAUUACACAUUUAUAAGCUACAGGCAGUGCAUCAUGAACGUGACAGAACAGCUACUACUAUAGGCAUAUAUAGUACAAAACCACAGUCAUUCAUACCUUCCAUCCAUAGUAUCCUAACUGUUCUAUAAACAUCUAUGAAUGAACUGAGUGCUCACCCCAGAGUCUUGGAGUUUCCUCUGGAAUAACUCGACAGCUGUUCCUCGGAGAGGAUAUUGGAGGGAGGGGCACGGCAUUCCUUCAAGUUGUAGCAAAUUGAAUCAAGGCUUGCUGUGUUGGGAGGGGUGAAACAAAACAUCUUACCAUAGUUAAUAGGUGACUACUUAGCUCAGUAAAUAGGUUAUUUAGAUUUAAAUUAACAGUCCAUGCAUGACAACAUGUUGGUUGUUGUUGGCAUGUUACUCCUUCAUAGUCUUUACAGGAUACAUCAAAGGGUGUGAUUGUGAAUGUUACUGAUUCAGCAAGCAGUCAUUUGAUUUGUCUUUGUAUUAGUUAGCUACUCAUAAGGAAAACAAAAAUCAUCUUUAAUUGAGUAAUGUGCUGCUAUAUUGAUCUACUCUCAAGCAAUAUUUUAUAAUAAUGAUACCAUUUCAGAUCACCUACCUUUGCCUUCUGUUAAAAUGAAUGGGAUAAGCAGUUUUUCUUCUUCCAGUAACACACCCAGCGAAGGGUAGUGGUUUGUAGAAUGCACUGCCUACCCUGACUGCACAUCACUGGAGAAACAAGGGGCAAAUUUGUUUUGUGUGGCCUGGUUCUCCAGGUGAGCACGGUUUGCUCAUUUUCAACCUUUCCAUUGGUCCUAAAGACAAAUCUCCAUCCACCAGGGCACCAGGCCAUGCAAAACAAACUCGCCCAAAGCAAGACCACUAAUCAAUUCCUCCUACUGAUCUGUUGGGGGGUGAGGCUAUUAAAUCAGGGAUGGAGGAAAUUGCCCUCAUGUCAUGAAUUAUAUUUAGCCUACAGCGCCCCAGCUUUUAGUAGAGUGCCACUCAACAACAUGCAUUCUCAGUUUCACUUCAAAUCAAUAAGGCAAAAGAUGAAUGGCUGAUUUGAGUGCAUAUGAUGUCAGGUUGGCAUUUCACCUCCAGAAAAGCAUUAAACAGUUGGAACCAGAUGGAAAUAAGGUUACAGUGACCUGUGUAAACUUCUACCAAUAUAGACACUAUAACACUUGAAGAGGAAAUAUUACAUUUACUGAAUGAAAGAAUGAUACACUGUCAGAAAUCAAGAUAUUAACUCUACAGUAAUAUGAAAUAGCAAAGAGAAUAACAGUCCUACUUGAUAUAUUAGGAACCACUACAGAGCAAUACAUUCAUCAGGACAGAACCAUCACCAGGACACGACUGCUCACAUUGAUGACAAAACAAUCAGACACAUUCACAGCGUGUCACACUUCCUAAUGAUAAUCUUCAUGCACAGUUUAGGU